GUGUUUAGUUGAAGGGGGCUAAAUCAAGAACUCGAGCAGAAUCGGAGGCUGAGUCAAGAACGAACCGCGCUUAAACGACCGUUGCUAGGUGGUAAGGGCCGGCAUGGACCAGAGCGGUUCAACCUAGCCUAAGGUUAUAGUUUUGGUUCUUAACACAAAGCAAAGGUGGUGGUUCGGGUAUUGACUCAGGACCUAAGUGUUGGUUUCAAG
Molecule: long non-coding RNA, 210 nt
Filed under: Nicotiana benthamiana
Lineage: Eukaryota; Viridiplantae; Streptophyta; Magnoliopsida; Solanales; Solanaceae
Description: long non-coding RNA (NBEN_LNC000417)
Source: RNAcentral